This 75-nucleotide transfer RNA is filed under the name Pseudozyma sp. Its description in RNAcentral is "tRNA-His". It matches the Rfam family "tRNA". Rfam says of the family: Transfer RNA (tRNA) molecules are approximately 80 nucleotides in length. Their secondary structure includes four short double-helical elements and three loops (D, anti-codon, and T loops). Lineage: Eukaryota; Fungi; Basidiomycota; Ustilaginomycetes; Ustilaginales; Ustilaginaceae. The record is from RNAcentral.
GUAAUACUAGCUUAAUUGGUAAAGCGCCAAUCUGUGGAGUUGUGUUCAUUCCGGUUCAAGUCCGGAGUUUUACCC